This 253-nucleotide ribosomal RNA is filed under the name uncultured bacterium. RNAcentral describes it as "partial 16S ribosomal RNA". It matches the Rfam family "Bacterial small subunit ribosomal RNA", at positions 524 to 776 of the family's 1533-position model. The record is from RNAcentral.
UACGUAGGUGGCGAACGUUAUCCGGAAUUAUUGGGCGUAAAGGGCGCGUAGGCGGCUUGGCAAGUGGAAGGUGAAAUCCCUCGGCUUAACCGAGGAACUGCCCUCCAAACUGCUUUGCUUGAGGCCGGGAGAGGCGAGUGGAAUUCCCAGUGUAGCGGUGAAAUGCGUAGAUAUUGGGAGGAACACCAGUGGCGAAGGCGGCUCGCUGGACCGGUUCUGACGCUGAGGCGCGAAAGCGUGGGGAGCAAACGGG